Molecule: non-coding RNA, 3798 nt
Organism: Macaca mulatta (Rhesus monkey)
Lineage: Eukaryota; Metazoa; Chordata; Mammalia; Primates; Cercopithecidae
Source: RefSeq, a predicted model, not a curated record
UAUUUAUUCUUUAUUUUUUGUAGAGACAGGGUCUUACUAUGCUGCCUAGGCUGGUCUUGAACUCCUUGCUUCAGGCGGUCCUCCUGCCUCGGCCUCCCAAAGUGAUAGGAUUACAAGCAUGAGCCACCAUGUCCAGAUGGCUCCAAGUUCUUGCACUGCGACUUCCACUUGGUUUUCUGUGUGAUUGAGAUCUCCCUUGUUCAUUGUGGGUUGGUGAUGUUCAUGAGAAACCCAAAGGCGAUGAAGCCAGUGGAGCCAACCUUCUCAAACCUUUCUCUCUUGGGAAACUGUGAGAGCAAAAUGUCCCCGGGGAACCUUGUGGUCCUCUUGCUCCUUUUAUCAUGAACCAAAAAUGCUCUCAGGUAUGACGUCAGUCUGAAUGGCCUGUAAAACAUGUUGGCGGUUCUACAUAAAACCAACAAAUGCAUACUCGUCAGCAUCAAUCUUAAAAUCAGGAUCAAGAAACAAAAAACUUUACCUAAACUUCUUAUUCAUUUACAUAGAAAGAAGUUGAAUUCUCUGAUUUGGUCCAGGGGAGAUGACUGUGAUGCUGGCACUGUUCUAAAAUCUGCACCAUGCAAUGCAGAAGCAACUCGACUUGUGAGGUUGUUGAGGACUUGAAAUGUGUCUGGUGUGACUGAGGAACUGAAUUUUUAAUUUUAGUCAACUGUAAUUCAUUUGAAUUUAAGAAGUCACGUUAUGAGUGGUUACCGUCUUGGAGAGGGUAGGCUGUGGACACUUGUGUUUGGUGACCAGACUAUGUGCUCCUCAAAACAUGCGAAGGUCACUCUGGAUAUUUCUUUAACAUGUCUUGUCUCACAAUGGUGCCCUAAAACAGAUUUGUCCCACAAAAGAACGCUCAUUCACUGAUGUAUUCAUUCAUUUAGCAAAUAUUUAUUGCAUAUCUUCUAUGUGCCAGGCACUGUGAUAAAAGCCAGGAGUAUGUCUAUGGAAAAAUGAUGCCAUCGUUUUAGUGGUAUUGUUAAUGUCUAUGAGAUUAGGAGAAUUGUGGGACUUUUCCUCCAUGGAACUGGCUAAGUCCCUGCAGUGAACUAAAUAGGUGAAAUGCAGAUUAUUCUGGGAAUAUGCAUGGUAACCCUGGAAAAGUGAGUAGCUGCGGCAAACCUGCCAUGUAAACACAGGCUGUGCACACAGGUGGGGAAGUGACAACGGGAAAGGGGAGAAGAGUCUGAAUUAAAUAUGGUGGGAACGAUGGUAUGUUUGAAGCUUAGAUGAAAUAGGAAUAAAGCCCUCGAAAGCGUUCUGGAAAGCACAUGGCAUUUACAAAUGGAAGCAGUGCACUGUCAACGUCACUGUGAGCUCCCGAGACAGUCCAGGCACAAGCUUCCCCAGCCACCCCCACGUAGCAUCCCAGAAACCAACCAAGCAAAGGAGCCAUUGCCUCAGGAGAAGGUGGCAGAACUUGAGGUAAAGAGGUGGUGCAAUUGGCUACCAAGGAAGGGAUUUCAGAGGACAGGAAAGCUGUGAACUGAGCAGGAAUGGGGGGAGGAGGGGCAAAGGCAUUAACACUUCAUUGGCUCAGGGACUUUCUGGUCAGAGACAGCCAGCCAGGACCUCAGAUGAGCAUUUUAUCCCCUCUUCUGCAGAGCACACAGCAAGAAGGAGAGGGGGACACGAAGGCUUGACUUUGGCACUUUCUCCAUUGAGUCAAAUGUUGUGGCUCUCACUGCAGGAUCCUGAAACACCGCUUAGAUCUGGAGUCCUCUGGAAGGGCGGAAGAAAGAGUCCACAAUAAGAUGCCCCUGCAUCUGGACUGGCUGGAGGCUCUGGCCUGAAGAGUCACAGCCCAUGUAGGUCCCUGGAGAGCCUUAUGGAGGGCACCGUUCAGGCUGGAGAUGGUCUGAUCUCUCUCUGUCCACAUACAUGUGCGUAUACAUUCCCAAAUAUUUAUUUCACUGGUUAGCUUCUCUUCCAACUCCCACUACAGGCCUUAGGGUUUCUUGGGAGAUUGCUUUCUGCACUUAUGGGGCAGAGACGUGGGGUGGAAGUUGGUGACAAGGAGGCAUCUAUUCCCUACCAAUAUUAGGGCACAUGAACCAAGGCCCAUGUGUCCCUCACACGUGGGGAUGAGAGGCCCUGCCAGUGGCUCUGGCCAGGCUUGAUGCGGCUCAGACGUGGCCCUUUACUCCCACAGCUAGAGGAAAAUCCUGUCAAAAUGGCUUAACGAUCUUCUAAUAUUUCCAUGCAAUUAAGGCCACAUCUGUCUCCCAGGCCCCCACACUCCUUUGCUGGUGCACAGACAUGAACCAAACAGUCUGUCUUGUCGAUCUGGAAGGUAACAAAGAGCUCCAUUCAUAACUGUAGGCACUUUCACCAUUUUUUUUCAAAGUAAAAUAGAGUUUUCACUUUGAGAAUAACCUGUGUGGCAAGCAAGCGAAGGAUUUUUCCCCCCUAAUAAAUCAAAUUCAACAGCCUAAUAAAAUGCUGGCUCCCCCUGCCCCCACCACUGCCUCCCUCCCUCCCACCGUCCCACUCUCAGCCAACAAUCCCUGGGAAUGGAGAGUAGUGGGCAGACCCAAAGGAGGUAGGGAAGGUGAGCUGAGAGCAGAUGAAGGGAAUUAAAACGCCUUUUGAAGGCUCAUGGGCUUGUUCGGCAGACUAAAGAGUGAGAUCGGUGGGGAAGGGGGUUGAGGGGUGGAGGCAGCAGGAGCGUAAGCAGUGUGCCUUUCCCUUUCCCUCUCCACCUACUUUUUCAGCCAUUCUGGGCUUGUUUUAAAACACUUCUUUUCUUCUCCUGCUCCCUCUACUCCACAGCUCAUCCCCAAACCUUCAGUAAACCUGCUGCUUCCUUUUUUUUGCAUGGGGAAGAGCAAGAGAACUAUGCUCCUAAGGAUGGAGCAAGUGCUCUUGGGCCCCACCUGCAGCUGAAGGCCCAGGGAGGAGUGUCUGCCUGCCUGUCUCCUCAGAGCAAGGCUGAGAGAUCUCCCUCAGCCUUUGAAGCCUCCAGAGAGUGAGUUUGCAGGAGAUAAGUGCUGAUAAACAUCGAGUUUGGUGCUUAUCCGCAGCAAACACAAUCUUUUGAGGUUCUCUCUGCACUCACAGGCCAUAGAGACUCUAAUCAGAAAACAGAAGGGAAAAUGCAAAACCAAGCAGUAUUUGCUGCUGAUUUUUCUUCUUUUUUGUUUUGUUUCGGUUUACACACUGAAAAGCCUAACAUAGAUACUGUCAUACAAGAGACUCCAGAGCAGAAAUGUAGCCCUGGGUCUUUGCUUUGUUUGGCUUUUUUGGUUCUGACGUCAAGGGAAGAUGUCUUCACAGAGCUGCACAUGAAAAGGAUGGGCCGGACACUGAUAACGACGGCAAUCUGCCUCCAGCAUUCUUCUUUCCAAAGCGCUCUUAGUCAUUGCAUUAUCUGGCCCUUAUGGCAACUCUUUAAGAAUUUGCUGAACAUUUGCCUUGGGAAACCAGUAAACAAUGCAGUUAUUGGUCCACUGUCAGCCUAGGCUUCUGCUUUGAGAUGUUUUACCUACGGUGGAAAUUGUCAUCUGUACCUGGCAUGUCUCUGGGUGUAUCUAAAACAAGCAUGUCUCAAGAAAUCUUUCCAGUUCCUACAUUCUCAACCAAAGUUUCUCAAGUGACAAACCAACUCAGGGUAUGAAGCUACCAGUUAGAAUUUCAAGUGUGACAAGCCUGCUACAAGAGUGUAUCUUAACUCUAGGGUUUCAGAAGCCAGAGGGCUCAUGCUACCGCCAAAAGCUGUGGCUUACCAACUCGUAUCACCCCUUUCCUUGGAAGUUUCUUAAGAUUCCAAAAUGUAAGAAUUAUUACCAGGUGUUC